AGUCCCGCAACGAGCGCAACCCUUGUCACUAGUUGCCAACACGUAAUGGUGGGGACUCUAGUGAGACUGCCCGGGUGAACCGGGAGGAAGGUGAGGAUGACGUCAAGUCAGCAUGGCCCUUAUAUCUGGGGCUACACACGUGCUACAAUGGCCGGUACAGAGGGUUGCCAAUCCGUGAGGUGGAGCAAAUCCCAAAAAGCCGGUCUCAGUUCGGA
Molecule: ribosomal RNA, 215 nt
Filed under: Symbiodinium sp. clade A
Lineage: Eukaryota; Dinophyceae; Suessiales; Symbiodiniaceae
Description: partial Bacterial small subunit ribosomal RNA
Rfam family: Bacterial small subunit ribosomal RNA
Source: RNAcentral